Long non-coding RNA from Arabidopsis thaliana (thale cress), 215 nucleotides. RefSeq annotates it as other RNA. The record is from RefSeq. NCBI's taxonomy places the organism in Eukaryota, Viridiplantae, Streptophyta, Magnoliopsida, Brassicales, Brassicaceae. The transcript has a single exon.
GGUGUCUCUUUAUGGCUAAUGUUCAUUUGUCUAUGAAAGGAUGAUUACAAAGAGACAUGAUUAAUAACAUUGUGACCAUUGACAGAGAAUUCUAUUAAGAGAGAAAAUGUUUUAGUGAGCAAAAGUUUUGAGACAUCAACUGGAAUGACAUUUGAACGGUGAUUUGUGGUUGAUUUCUGUUUCUGAUAUCAGCCUCAAUUUUUGUGUUUCGAUUU